Daktulosphaira vitifoliae (grape phylloxera) is the source of this 639-nucleotide long non-coding RNA. RefSeq lists it as uncharacterized. The record is from RefSeq and is a predicted model, not a curated record. The transcript has 2 exons. NCBI's taxonomy places the organism in Eukaryota, Metazoa, Arthropoda, Insecta, Hemiptera, Phylloxeridae.
GUAGUUACUACGGUUAUCGACACGUUGUAGAUAACUGUGACAUUUAAUUAUUUGAUCUGCCCUUUAAUAUCGAGAACAAUAACUUUGAAAAUAUUUUCAUAUCUGUUAUUCAAUUGAAAAUUAGAUCAUCACUCGAAAAGUAAUUGUUUUAUAUUUUGAAAAAAAAUUUGCAUUUCAAAAAAAGCAAAAACAUUUGUAUUAUGUAACAAAAAUCAUAUUGGAAAAUAUGUUGUUUUGAAAGCGUCUCUUAAUCAUUGCUAUAUUCGCUAUGCUCAGUUUGCAUAGUCUCUCUAUUAAUUUUUAUACAAUCAUAAAAGAUUUUAUUGAUUUAAUUUCAAGAAAUACAGUUCGCAUUGCGAUAGAACAAGUUUCAAAGUGUUUUAUGUGUUCGAUAUUAUGGCUCGAGGGGAAAUAUUAACAUAAAAAUGUUAAAUGCGUAUCAACAUAGGCAAAAAAGACAACAUGUCAAUUUGUAAUAAAGCUUUGAUUUUAAGAAAACAAAAAUAUUCAAUGUCAAAUGUACUUUUAAACAAAUGUAAUAGAGUGGAAUUUUAAAAACAAAACAAAACAUCGAUUUUCAUUGCUUCGCAUUAUUUUUGUAUGAUUUUAUAACUCAUUAAUAAUACCUUUUAUUUAUUC